RNAcentral lists this long non-coding RNA (1300 nucleotides) under Androctonus crassicauda. Lineage: Eukaryota; Metazoa; Arthropoda; Arachnida; Scorpiones; Buthidae. The record is from RNAcentral.
AUCGAACAGGAGAAUUCUUUUCACAAAUUUAAAAAUUUAAAAGUUUUCAAAAAGUUUUUAAAAAAUUGUUCAAAAGGCUUUGCAGAUUUAAGUAAAAUAAAAUGUUAUAGGGGUUACAGUUUCACACAGUUUACUGGUUAUAUCGGCUACUACCACAACAGCUUUCAUAUCAUUAUACAAAGAUAACAUAACAUAUUAAAAUUUUACAAACAUAACAUAAAGAUAGUAAUUACUAUCUUUAUGUUAUAUUUGUAAAAUUGUAAUAUGUAAACCAACUCCCAUCAAAGAAAAACCCUUCUCUAUCCCUAGAAGAUGUCGUCACCAUCCUGGACAAUAUCAAAGUUCCAAACUUCGCCACAGAGCUUUUCGCCAAAGGCCCAGCAUGUGCGCUAGUAGAAAAUCCUCGAUUCCCAGAUGAUAUACCUCUUUUUGAAAAGCUUGUUGACCCACUUGAUGAUUUAGAAGCCGAAAGGCUAAGAUGGUCUUUUGUAAAUGAACAUAAUAAGAAAAGAGUCCCGGACCACGAUCUCUCGCUUAUUAGCUCCUCCCUACUAGAUCCUAGUGUGCAUUUAACACUUAAUUGGUUCUCUGAUGAAAAACUGAUUUUAAUGAGGGAAGACAAAUCGAAGAAGCUAGUACUCCUUAUGAAAAGCUCAUAUGACGCCUUUAUCAUGCAGUUCGUACGAGACUUAAACAUGAAAACCCUACCUAAAGACCCAACACCUAUGCUUGCUGCUAAGACCAACAAACUUCUCAAACAUAAAAACCUACCUAGUUAUAUCUCAAGAGCUUGAAUUACCAAUCCAGUGUGUCCUAGGGCCUUCAUUUAUGUUAAAACGCACAAAGACACCUUGUCAGCCCGACCAAUUGUCGAAAAGAUGUGCUCCCUGACAUUUAACAUCAAAAAGUCCUUGGCCAAGUGGUGUCAACAGUUUUAGCACCUUAUCUCCUCUCUGUCUCGUCCCCUUUAGAAUUUUUGAAUAGACUAAGACAGUUAAACCUCUUCGUACAGAAUGUUAUGACAACCAUGGACUUUGAAUCCUUACACCCAUCCCUGAACCUAGAUGCCAUCUGCCUUUUAUUUUAUAGGUUCUUAUUAGAACACACCCCAGAACAGUAUCAGGACCCGGCGCUCCUAUGUGAUGUUGCAUACCUUAUUUGUCAUGAAUCAUAUUUUGAAUAUGAUGGGGUCUACUACAAACAGUUUCAAGGGGUACCCAUAGGAAGCCCUAUGGCGGGAAUUUUAGCCGAAAUAGUCAUCAGAGAUAUUGAAUCAAAAAUGAGUACAGACCUCACUAAG